Molecule: long non-coding RNA, 782 nt
Filed under: Geospiza fortis (medium ground-finch)
Lineage: Eukaryota; Metazoa; Chordata; Aves; Passeriformes; Thraupidae
Description: lncRNA (ENSGFOG00000008239.1)
Source: RNAcentral
GAUCAUUAUUAAUAGCACAAUAUAAAGUAAAUGGCACUGAAUGUUAUGUUGGGGGCAGAGAAUGACACUGAAAGCUUUUUCUUUAUUGUCUGCAGAGGAGAAGAAAGUAAAGAGCACUAAAGUGGAAGCAAAAGUUAAAAAGGAAGUGAAGGAUGGAAAAGGAGAAGCAAAGACGGCAGAGAAGGUCAAGCAGUCAGAGACAAAAACAACAGAAACUGGGCUAAUAAAGGCCAAAACGAAAGUUAAGGAGGAGAAAGCUCUUCAGACUGUAACUAAAUCGGACAAGAAAGAUCAAUAUGCAUUCUGUCGCUAUGUGAUUGACAUGUUUGCACAAGGGGAUUUUUAUCCAGGUGCAGGACAUAAGGAAUUUGCACCACCUCGUCUUCUUCUAGAACACAGUCCAAGAAAGAAACCAGCAGCUAUUGAAGAAGAAAAGUCUGUUGUGGUACCUAGAGAAGUGAAAAAGAGAAAAGAGGAGAAGAAAAAAAGUGAUGAAAAGAAGAUUAUGACUGAAACUACGGUGAAAGAAAAAACAGGAAAAAAGGAGAAAGCUCAUGAGAAGACAGCUGUCCCUGAAAUUAAAAAAGCAGAUAAAAAAGAAGCUGCUGUAUCCAAAGAACUCAAAAAGCCAGCAAAAGCUCCUGCAGCCAACCCAGCUAUCAAAGGAGCAGCAGCACCAGGUAAAGAAGAAGAAUGUUUGCAUGCAAUUUCUAGUACUUCUGAACCAGUUUAUUGCAUCAUAGCACCAUCUGCUGGAUUGCACAUAAGCCAGUGUUCUUGUC